UACAGAGGGGGCAAGCGUUAUUCGGAAUUAUUGGGCGUAAAGGGCGCGUAGGCGGCCUGACAAGUGGAAGGUGAAAUCCCUCGGCUUAACCGAGGAACUGCCCUCCAAACUGUUUGGCUUGAGUCCGGGAGAGGUGAGUGGAAUUCCCAGUGUAGCGGUGAAAUGCGUAGAUAUUGGGAGGAACACCAGUGGCGAAGGCGGCUCACUGAACCGGAACUGACGCUGAUGCGCGAAAGCGUGGGGAGCAAACGGG
This 253-nucleotide ribosomal RNA is filed under the name uncultured bacterium. RNAcentral's name for it is "partial 16S ribosomal RNA". It matches the Rfam family "Bacterial small subunit ribosomal RNA", at positions 524 to 776 of the family's 1533-position model. The record is from RNAcentral.